RNAcentral lists this ribosomal RNA (253 nucleotides) under uncultured bacterium. RNAcentral's name for it is "partial 16S ribosomal RNA". It matches the Rfam family "Bacterial small subunit ribosomal RNA", at positions 524 to 776 of the family's 1533-position model. The record is from RNAcentral.
UACGUAGGAGGCGAGCGUUGUCCGGAUUUACUGGGCGUAAAGCGCGCGCAGGCGGCAUGGCAAGUAAGGUGUGAAAAUCCAGGGCUCAACCCUGGACCUGCAGUGGGUACGGGCAGACUAGAGUGCGGUAGGGGAGAUCGGAAUUCCUGGUGUAGCGGUGAAAUGCGCAGAUAUCAGGAAGAACACCGGCGGCGAAGGCGGCACUCUGGGCCGGUACUGACGCUGAGGAGCGAAAGCGUGGGUAGCAAACAGG